RNAcentral lists this transfer RNA (84 nucleotides) under Coprinopsis marcescibilis. It matches the Rfam family "tRNA". Rfam says of the family: Transfer RNA (tRNA) molecules are approximately 80 nucleotides in length. The record is from Rfam by way of RNAcentral. Lineage: Eukaryota; Fungi; Basidiomycota; Agaricomycetes; Agaricales; Psathyrellaceae.
CCGACCUUAGCUCAGUUGGAAGAGCGCGAGACUGUAAUGGAUAACGUCAUCUUGAGGUCGCCUGUUCGAGCCAGGCAGGUCGGA